Long non-coding RNA from Oncorhynchus keta (chum salmon), 255 nucleotides. RefSeq lists it as uncharacterized. Lineage: Eukaryota; Metazoa; Chordata; Actinopteri; Salmoniformes; Salmonidae. The record is from RefSeq and is a predicted model, not a curated record. The transcript is spliced from 3 exons.
CGGCAGGUAGACUAGCGGUUAGAGCGUCGAGGCGCCAGGUAGCCUAGCGGUUAGAGCGUCGAGGCGCCAGGUAGCCUAGCGGUUAGAGCGUCGAGGCGCCAGGUAGCCUAGCGGUUAGAGCGUAGAAGGCGGCAGGUAGCCUAGCGGUUAGAGCGUCGAGGCGGCAGGUAGCCUAGCGGUUAGAGCGUCGAGGCGCCAGGUAGCCUAGCGGUUAGAGCGUAGAGGCGCCAGGUAGCCUAGCGGUUAGAGCGUAGA